Molecule: ribosomal RNA, 486 nt
Filed under: uncultured bacterium
Lineage: Bacteria
Description: partial 16S ribosomal RNA
Rfam family: Bacterial small subunit ribosomal RNA
Source: RNAcentral
AUUGAACGCUGGCGGCAUGCCUUACACAUGCAAGUCGAACGGCAGCACGGGUGCUUGCCCCUGGUGGCGAGUGGCGAACGGGUGAGUAAUACAUCGGAACAUGUCCUGUAGUGGGGGAUAGCCCGGCGAAAGCCGGAUUAAUACCGCAUACGAUCUACGGAUGAAAGCGGGGGACCUUCGGGCCUCGCGCUAUAGGGUUGGCCGAUGGCUGAUUAGCUAGUUGGUGGGGUAAAGGCCUACCAAGGCGACGAUCAGUAGAUGGCCUGAGAGGACGACCAGCCACACUGGGACUGAGACACGGCCCAGACUCCUACGGGAGGCAGCAGUGGGGAAUUUUGGACAAUGGGCGAAAGCCUGAUCCAGCAAUGCCGCGUGUGUGAAGAAGGCCUUCGGGUUGUAAAGCACUUUUGUCCGGAAAGAAAUCCUUGGCUCUAAUACAGUCGGGGGAUGACGGUACCGGAAGAAUAAGCACCGGCUAACUACGUG